UACGUAGGGUGCAAGCGUUGUCCGGAAUUAUUGGGCGUAAAGAGCUCGUAGGCGGUUUGUCGCGUCUGCUGUGAAAACUCGGGGCUUAACCCCGGGCCUGCAGUGGGUACGGGCAGACUAGAGUGCGGUAGGGGAGACUGGAAUUCCUGGUGUAGCGGUGAAAUGCGCAGAUAUCAGGAGGAACACCGGUGGCGAAGGCGGGUCUCUGGGCCGUAACUGACGCUGAGGCGCGAAAGCCAGGGGAGCAAACGGG
RNAcentral lists this ribosomal RNA (253 nucleotides) under uncultured bacterium. Its description in RNAcentral is "partial 16S ribosomal RNA". It matches the Rfam family "Bacterial small subunit ribosomal RNA", at positions 524 to 776 of the family's 1533-position model. The record is from RNAcentral.